UUAAAUUCAACAAAAAAUAUAUGGUGAAAAAUAUAUAAUAAAAUUUCUCUUUUGUAUCAGAAUAAUUGUCUUGUAUAAACUGGAAUUCUCUUUUUUUUUACUAUAUACUAAGGGGAUCCCUCCGACAAAAACGUUCACACAUAUGCACAUCUAAACAUAAACAUACAUACAUUUAUGUACAUACAUAAUUCAUACAUUUCUGUACACACAUGAUACACAUGAACAAAUUUUUGUAUUGCUUUCUUGUAUUACAUUAUCUAGCUUAAUAUCUAGCUUAAUUUUAAGAACUCAACAUUGUUUCUUCAUAUAAUCUAGUUUAGCAAUAUCAGUUUUAUAGGUACAGACUAUAAAAUUUUUAUAUAAAGCAAAUAUUGAUGCGACUUGGCAGCUUUGGACGCCCUUUUAAGAAAGGAUUUCCAGAUCUAUAAAGUGAGAGCAAUACAAAAAUCACUAUGUUGUCGGUAAUACAGAUAAGUCCAGCAUCCCCUUAAUAAUUAUGUAUGAACUGAGAAAAUGAAGAUUGAAAGGCAGAUUACACAAUAUUUUCAUCUUGUACGUGCCAUUAGAAUAAGAAUAGAGAUUGAAGGAAAAUUCCAAAAUAAAAGGAUAAAUCAAUCCGACCGUUCGAAAAAAGAAAGUUUCUCAUCAAAUUUCUGUAAAAUGAUGAUGCUUGGAAUACCUUGCUUACGUUCUAUGCGAUUAUCGAUGCGCAUUUUAAACUUAUUACGCAGACCAACUUGUCCAACUUUAUUUCUACAAAAGAAUUCUUUUCUUUUUAUUUUAUCGAAAGACGAAUAUCAUCAGUUGUUGAUACUGUUUUUAUUUUAGGUAUCGUUAAUGACAAUGUUAAUUCAAGGAUGUUAAUUCAAGGAAAAACAAGAUGGAUAUAAUAAUCAAGACUGUUCCGUUUUUACAAGUAAUACAGUAAAUAUGAUGUCGCAACAAUACACUGCCACAACUGUUCCAUAUAAUUACUGUGCUACUGCCAGCUGUAGCAUCGUAUAUCGGAACAGAUUUUUCUGUAUAAUAUGGUGAUGCGCGCAGUUAGAAAAAAGCUCAAGCUGUAAGUUUGCACGAUUGCAAUAAAAAUAAUGAACGAGAUAAUUCAACUGAGAGAGACGAGUUAUUAGAAUUACAUAACUCUACAACAAUUAUCGAUUACAUAUAAUAAGUUAUAUUGUAUAUCAUUAUUUGCGGAAUUUAAAAACCAUUUUUGAUACAAAAA
Pogonomyrmex barbatus (red harvester ant) is the source of this 1225-nucleotide long non-coding RNA. NCBI's taxonomy places the organism in Eukaryota, Metazoa, Arthropoda, Insecta, Hymenoptera, Formicidae. The record is from RefSeq and is a predicted model, not a curated record.